Molecule: ribosomal RNA, 253 nt
Filed under: uncultured prokaryote
Description: partial 16S ribosomal RNA
Rfam family: Bacterial small subunit ribosomal RNA
Source: RNAcentral
UACGUAGGGUGCGAGCGUUAAUCGGAAUUACUGGGCGUAAAGUGUGCGCAGGCGGCCGAGCAAGUCGAGUGUGAAAGCCCCGAGCUUAACCGAGGAACUGCCCUCCAAACUGCUUGGCUUGAGACCAGGAGAGGUGAGUGGAAUUCCCAGUGUAGCGGUGAAAUGCGUAGAUAUUGGGAGGAACACCCGUAGCGAAGGCGGCACUCUGGGCCGGUACUGACGCUGAGGAGCGAAAGCGUGGGGAGCAAACAGG